Molecule: ribosomal RNA, 230 nt
Filed under: Aeromonas veronii
Lineage: Bacteria; Pseudomonadati; Pseudomonadota; Gammaproteobacteria; Aeromonadales; Aeromonadaceae
Description: partial 16S ribosomal RNA
Rfam family: Bacterial small subunit ribosomal RNA
Source: RNAcentral
ACUCGACUCCGUGAAGUCGGAAUCGCUAGUAAUCGCAAAUCAGAAUGUUGCGGUGAAUACGUUCCCGGGCCUUGUACACACCGCCCGUCACACCAUGGGAGUGGGUUGCACCAGAAGUAGAUAGCUUAACCUUCGGGAGGGCGUUUACCACGGUGUGAUUCAUGACUGGGGUGAAGUCGUAACAAGGUAACCCUAGGGGAACCUGGGGUUGGAUCACCUCCUUACCUUAA